RNAcentral lists this ribosomal RNA (348 nucleotides) under Snaha escheri. RNAcentral describes it as "partial 16S ribosomal RNA". The stretch from base 1 to 182 matches the Rfam family "Archaeal large subunit ribosomal RNA", at positions 1922 to 2143 of the family's 2987-position model. Lineage: Eukaryota; Metazoa; Arthropoda; Malacostraca; Decapoda; Gecarcinucidae. The record is from RNAcentral.
UCUAUUUGGAGAUAUAAAAAGUCUGACCUGCCCACUGAAAUUUUAAGGGCCGCGGUAUUAUGACCGUGCAAAGGUAGCAUAAUCAUUAGGUUUUUAAAUGGAAUCUUGUAUGAAUGGUCGAACAAAAAAAAUUCUGUCUUUAUAAUAAAUUUUGAAUUUAACUUUUAAGUGAAAAGGCUUAAAUAAUUUAGAGGGACGAUAAGGCCCUAUAAAGCUUUACAUUAUGAUUAUAUUAUAUUAAAUUUAAUAGUAAAGAUUUAUUUAGUCGUAUGUUUUGUUGGGGAGACAUAGGCAAAAAUAAUAACUGCUUGGAAUAUAAACAAUAAUAAAUGAAUAAUAAAAGAUCCU